RNAcentral lists this ribosomal RNA (344 nucleotides) under Staphylococcus aureus. RNAcentral's name for it is "bacterial SSU rRNA". It matches the Rfam family "Bacterial small subunit ribosomal RNA", at positions 212 to 548 of the family's 1533-position model. The record is from RNAcentral. Lineage: Bacteria; Bacillati; Bacillota; Bacilli; Caryophanales; Staphylococcaceae.
CUGUCACUUAUUGAUGCAUCCGCGCUGCAUUAGCGAGUUGGUAAGGUAACGGCUUACCAAGGCAACGAUGCAUAGCCGACCUGAGAGGGUGAUCGGCCACACUGGAACUGAGACACGGUCCAGACUCCUACGGGAGGCAGCAGUAGGGAAUCGUCCGCAAUGGGCGAAAGCCUGACGGAGCAACGCCGCGUGAGUGAUGAAGGUCUUCGGAUCGUAAAACUCUGUUAUUAGGGAAGAACAUAUGUGUAAGUAACUGUGCACAUCUUGACGGUACCUAAUCAGAAAGCCACGGCUAACUACGUGCCAGCAGCCGCGGUAAUACGUAGGUGGCAAGCGUUAUCCGG